This 296-nucleotide ribosomal RNA is filed under the name uncultured bacterium. RNAcentral describes it as "partial 16S ribosomal RNA". It matches the Rfam family "Bacterial small subunit ribosomal RNA", at positions 335 to 628 of the family's 1533-position model. The record is from RNAcentral.
UGCCCUACGGGACGCAGCAGUGAGGAAUAUUGGUCAAUGGGCGGGAGCCUGAACCAGCCAAGUCGCGUGAGGGAAGACGGUCCUAUGGAUUGUAAACCUCUUUAGGCGGGGAGCAAUGCCGGGCACGCGUGUCCGGAGGGAGAGUACCCGCAGAAUAAGCAUCGGCUAACUCCGUGCCAGCAGCCGCGGUAAUACGGAGGAUGCGAGCGUUAUCCGGAUUUAUUGGGUUUAAAGGGAGCGUAGGCGGGUUUUUAAGUCAGCGGUAAAAUUACCGGGCUCAACCCGGUCCGGCCGGU